RNAcentral lists this ribosomal RNA (159 nucleotides) under uncultured bacterium. RNAcentral describes it as "partial 16S ribosomal RNA". It matches the Rfam family "Bacterial small subunit ribosomal RNA", at positions 355 to 509 of the family's 1533-position model. The record is from RNAcentral.
UGAGGAAUAUUGGUCAAUGGGCGAGAGCCUGAACCAGCCAAGUCGCGUGAGGGAAGACGGUCCUAUGGAUUGUAAACCUCUUUUGCCGGGGAGCAAAGAGCGGCACGUGUGCCGCGGGCCGAGAGUACCCGGAGAAAAAGCAUCGGCUAACUCCGUGCC